Molecule: long non-coding RNA, 641 nt
Organism: Oncorhynchus tshawytscha (Chinook salmon)
Lineage: Eukaryota; Metazoa; Chordata; Actinopteri; Salmoniformes; Salmonidae
Source: Ensembl
UAUUGAAUAGAAGGGCCACUGAGCUUGUUAGAGUGUAGGGACGGCAGGUAGACUAGUGGUCAGAGUGUAGGGACGGCAUGUAGCCUAGUGGUUAGAGUGUAGGGACGGCAGGCAGCCUAGUGGUUAGAGUGUAGGGGCGGCAGGCAGACUAGUGGUUAGAGUGUAGGGACGGCAGGUAGACUAGUGGUUAGAGUGUAGGGACGGCAGGUAGCCUAGUGGUUAGAGUGUAGGGGCGGCAGGCAGUCUAGUGGUUAGAGUGUAGGGACGGCAGGUAACCUAGUGGUUAGAGUGUAGGGACGGCAGGUAGCCUAGUGGUUAGAGUGUAGGGACGGCAGGUAGCCUAGUGGUUAGAGUGUAGGGGCGGCAGGUAGCCUAGUGGUUAGAGUGUAGGGACGGCAGGUAGCCUAGUGGUUAGAGUGUAGGGACGGCAGGUAACCUAGUGGUUAGAGUGUAGGGACGGCAGGUAGCCUAGUGGUUAGAGUGUAGGGACGGCAGGUAGCCUAGUGGUUAGAGUGUAGGGACGGCAGGUAACCUAGUGGUUAGAGUGUAGGGACGGCAGGUAGCCUAGUGGUUAGAGUGUAGGGACGGCAGGUAACCUAGUGGUUAGAGUGUAGGGACGGCAGGUAGCCUAGUGGUUAGAG